Molecule: long non-coding RNA, 8888 nt
Filed under: Arabidopsis lyrata
Lineage: Eukaryota; Viridiplantae; Streptophyta; Magnoliopsida; Brassicales; Brassicaceae
Description: long non-coding RNA (ALYR_LNC002651)
Source: RNAcentral
CAGGUAUUCAGGUUUCAUCCUACUUUCCUGGUGCAAUAUCUAUCAAUCAUGCAAAUUCAUAUUCUCUUUCCUUCUUCAGGGAACUUGGGAUUGGGAUUGUUGCUUACAGUCCUCUAGGACGAGGUUUCUUCGCAUCUGGACCCAAGCUUGUUGAGAACCUAGAAAAGGAUGACUUCAGAAAGGCAAGUACAUAGUCUUUGUGUAUGACUUGUUUGAUUGAUGAACCUUACAUAACCUGUGGAUAAAUCAAAUGACUUUAUACAAACUCAAUUAUUGCAGGCUCUACCAAGAUUCCUAGAGAAAAACUUAGACCACAACAAGAUUGUUUAUGAGAAGGUUUGUGCAAUCUCGGAAAAGAAAGGAUGCACUCCUGCACAGUUAGCUCUGGCAUGGGUUCACCACCAGGGAGAUGAUGUUUGUCCCAUCCCAGGAACCACUAAGAUCGAAAACCUCAACCAGAACAUUGGAGCUUUAUCAGUGAAACUCACUCCCGAAGAGAUGACUGAGCUUGAGGCCAUUGCCCAACCAGGUUUUGUGAAAGGGGAAAGAUACAGUAGCAUGAUACCCACUUUCAAAAACUCUGAGACACCGCCAUUGUCUUCUUGGAAAGCUGCUUAAAAUCGUCUGAGUUUGUCUGGUUGUUGUGGGGUUCAUGACACUGAAGUGGUCUAACUUAUGUCAGUCAGAUCAAGGUAAUAAAUGUGUUAAUGCCGUGAAGAAUAAAUAAUGUAUAGAGUUCCCCCAAGUGAAAACUUCAAUUUACAUUUUCAUACAUUGUAACCAAACUCUAAAAAAUAAGUAGUUAUUUUCACUUGAAGUUAUUUUCACUUGAAGUUAUUUUCGGUUUGGUUUAAUUAAACCAGGAUUCGGGUGUUAUUUUCGGUCCAACACUUAAACAAGCGAAGCGACCCAAUUGGUUGGUUAAUCAUCAUCUUCAUCGAGUCACACCCUAGUUUGCCACUAAACCGAAAAAAUGAAUCUGGCCUGCCAUUUUAUGAUCUAUAUGCCACUAUAUAUAUGUGUUAUCUCCAUUUUACCCUUAAUGAAUUAUUCCUUAUUUAAUUUUUAAAAAGCAAAAGAGAAAAUAAAAAAAAAAACAAAACUCUCAGUAUGUGGGUCCCAAAAAACGUUUAGCGUAUGAUUUUUUUUUAAUGUUGUAUUUACUCGAUAUAUGGGUCCUACUAAAAAGUUUUUUUUUUUUUUUUUUCGGCAGAAUAAUACUCAUAGUUGUCCAGUUGUACUAUCAUAAUCAUAGUUGAACUUUCCACAGUUUUCAUAAUUUGCAGUUGGACGAGACUGUAAAUUAUUUUGCAUUACCAAAGUUUUCAUAAUGGAACAUUGGUGAAAACUACAUUUUCACUUUUUUUACUUCAUAUAUGGUGAUUAUAUACUAAGUAUUCCUUAUAGUAGAAAGGAUGUUUUAUGUGAAAACAACAUUAUUUCUUAGAAGUUAUUAAUUGUAUUGAUCCGAAAUAGUUUGUUUAUAUUUUGGGGAAUUUAAUAUAUAAUUUUACGUUUAUAAUAAAUCAAAUUAUUAUAAGUUAUAAAUUAGGAUUCUAUAAAAAAAUUCUCCAAAAAAAUCUUCAAAUAUAUAUAAACUAUUUUAAAUCAAUACAACCAUAAUUUAUAAAUUUUGUAGCAAGCUUUGUUUUUUUUUUUGUUUUUUCACAUAAAACACUCCUUCUAGUAUAAGGAAGACUUAGUACAUGAUCACCUCGUAUGAAGCAAAAGAGGUAAAAACCAAAUUUUCCUGAACAUUGUAUUAUGAAAACCUCGUAUAUGCUAAUUAAUAGUGAACAAUCAUGUGUCCAACUACUAAUUAAUAAUUUAUACAAUAGUUCAACUGAAAAUACGAAAAAUUCGCCAAAGUCCAACUAUGAAUAUGAGAGUACAACUGGACAACUAUGACUAUAUCCAGCCGCCAAAUCCAAACGUGCAUUUUACUCAGGCCCACAACUGUGCACUUUAGUCGGACCUACAACUGUGCAUUUUACGACACGUAGGAUGAUUUUAAAACAUUUUAUAUUGAAACAUUUUAUAUUUUUUUUAUUUUUUUUUUCUACUUUUCUUCUUUCUCAGUUUAUCUAGUUGGACCGAAUAAUUAGAUCUCAGUUGUACCUAAUAAUUGCAGUUGUACCAAAAUAUCAUCAAAGUACAUAAACAAAAGAUAUAGUUUACCAUAUAUAAACAUCAGUUUCGUUGGAUCUGUAGUUUUCAGUUUCAGUGUCCGCUUCAUCUUCUUUCUCUCAAGUAGUGGGUUAUUGGAUUUGGGUCGAAUUAUUUUGGUUGGGUCUGUAGUUUCCAAUCAUCUAAAAGGUACAUUUCCAUCGCUUUUGAUUUUUUAAAAAAUGGUAAAUAAAAUUACAAAGAAGACGGUGGCAUUCUAGCAUUUUUUUCCGGAGAAAGUGGCUUUCUAGCCAUUGUUUCAUCUUCAUCAGAGAUCAACCCAACUUCACUCAAUGCUGAUGAUGCAGUCUCAGCUCUUAAAAAGCAUAAAUCAAAGUGAAAGAAACCAUUACCACCGUGGGUCGUUCGAUUGCAACUAAAUAAUGUGAAUCAUUUCCAGUUCAACAAUGGAAGGUCUUCGAGAAUCUGAGCAUCUCUUCGUCAAUAAGGACCUCGUCGUGCGUCUCUCUCUCUCUCUAUUCAUCUAUAUAUUUCCUUAUCUGUGUUGCAGACAUUAAACGAUAGAUAAAGGAAAUGAUGUCAUGUGAUCAUCUCAAUUUAGGAUUUUCCUGGUUUAUGUCUGCUACACUAAACCCUAAAUGAUCGAUCCUCUUCAGUAGUAGCUUAAGAAUCUCCAUGGUCAAAAAGGCUUCUUUAUUUUCUCUCACUAAUAUCAUUGUUGCUUUUUUUUUAUGGCUGGAUUAGGAAUUUUAGUUAUCAAUGGAGCAAUUGGCACAAACCCUUUUUCUGAUUUUAGUCUUUUUCACAUGACAGGAUGAUUAUGUCGAAAUUUCCGGUAAAGAUGAUACAUCAGAAAGUUCCAAUGUCAAAAGGAAAGUUGAAAGUCUCUUCUGUGUUAUGAGAAAGAGAACUUGUAGGCACAACUCUGUCGAUGAUGAUGAUAUGUUUCCGGAUUUAGAUAAUAAUGCAGAGAAAGGUGAUGGUGAUGAGGAUAUACGAAAUUGUCUGAGACCUGAAAGUGACUUCUGGUUUGAAAAUCUUACGGAUAGUCCUUAUGAUCCAUUGGAUGAAGGUACCAUUGUAGACGACAGUGGCAGUGACACAAACAUAUCUGAAUCUUCAGAAUUUGAUGUUAUAUCGGAACAUGUUCUAGAAGAAAAUGAUUUGGUAACGGGAUCGAAAUCUUUGGCUAUAUGGUCCAGUGAGGAUAAGGGAGCUCUGGUUAGUAAAUGGUCUUUAGAAACUCGGAAUUCUAUCUUGUUGUUAUCUCCUGAUGAGCAUGGUGUAAGGUCUAAAGAAGAUGAGGUGUUAUCAUCUGUUUCUGCAUCCACAAAGAAAUUACAGCAUAUCAUUGAUCCCCAAAUUAUCUCUGGACAUAGUAAUGACAUCUCUCUCUUCCAUAUAGAACGGAAAAAAGAUCGAAUAUUCUGCAUCACUGGGCAUUGUGAAGAUAUAUUGAGGUGCAGUGUCAACAAAGAAGAUUCAGAAAUCCCAUGCAAUUUUGAUAUCUUCAAGAAUGAUGGCGACAAAUCAUCUGCAAAUGAAGUUAGAUGUGGAGAUGUCAUCAACAUGCAGGGGUCUAUGGAGAUAAUGUGCAUUAAUGAUGAGCUUACACUGUGGAAUAAAGACAAUGAACCAAUACCGAUCAGCAUUGUUCCUCCUGAUGGUUGGGAAAGCGUAUUGCUAGAAACAUGUUCACUUCAUCAGAUAGACAGAUGUAUAAAUGAAUACAAUGUUCGUGAUGAUAACAUUGGCCUUGAAAUAUCUCCAAUACCUUUAACAAAAACUCUGGAAAGACCUAGUAGGCCAUUGUCAGUUUGUGGCUCUAUAGCUGCAGUCAGAAACUUACCUCUAAUGGAAGAUAGCUCAGGUGCUUGUAGUUCUUUGGAUGAACAAGUAUAUGCAAAUGCUAAUAGCUCUGAGGACAGGGACGCAGAACUUGCUCAAACCCCAUCAACUCUAUAUCAGGAAGAAGUGGAUGGAGAAGAUGAGAUUGACAUUGAUGCAAUGGUAAACCCUGAUUACUCUAUACACAAUCGUGUCACAAAUUAUCAUUCAAUGUGUUUUCUGAUCUCUGAUAUCACAUGAAAACAUCUCCAGAUCCGCAAAUUGAAUCUAGUCCCAGAUGAUUCAGAUUCAUGCUUCAACAGGGAAGGUAAACCGUAUGGCUUAUGAUGUCCAAUCAAUCAUGUAACUAAUUCACACUGUUGCAUCCAAAGAGAAUGUAAAAAAAAAAAACAGUUAUGUCUCUCUCAAACUAUAGUUGUCUCAAUUAUGGUUCGCUUCAUGAUACCUAGAAUGGAACAUAUAUAAGCACCCAAGACACGCCUUAAUUGGAUUGGAACACUGCACAAGAACUUCAUUGCAAAGAGCAAAUAUGUUUCAUGGGGCAAUUGCCAUCCUGCAUUGUCGUGAUUCAAAGCAUUUUGUCAGAAAACGCGAGGUAUGUUAGACAAAACAUUUUCUUCUGUCUUGAUGUUUUCAUGUCGUCUCAAGUCCUCUUAGUUACAUGGCAGAAGAUCAUUUAUUUGUCAUAGGUAAUUAUUGGGAGAUCAUCUGAUGGCCUGAAUGUUGACAUUGACUUGAGUAAAUAUAAUUAUGGGAGUAAGAUAUCUCGGCGUCAGGUGAUCCUCUUUCCCUUUCCCAAAUUAAAAUUAGUUCACUAGUUAAGUUCUUAAUUACCAUCUUGCUAAUGUGCUAUAUUUUCUAUCUCUAUAUUAAGGCAUUGGUUAAGCUAGAGAACAACGAAUCAUUCUCUCUAAAGAACCUUGGAAAGCGACAUAUUCUUGUAAAUGGAGAAAAACUCGAUACAGGACAGAUUGCAACCCUCACAUCGUGUAGUUCAAUCGAUGUAAGUCCGAGCUUAUGCUUUGCACUAGUGUGUUUAUGCAUCUUUCUUUAACUAGAACGCCCAAAUUUUGCAGAUUAGAGGAGUAACCUUUGUGUUCAAGAUUAACAAAGAAGCCGUGAGACAAUUCUUGAAGAACAACACACGAAGAAAGACCGAGGAAGACACCAAAUUCAGAUGGUGCGAAUAGAUUCUGUUAAAUUCUCUUUUGCUCUACCACUCUCUGCAUAGUCUUAAUGACCCAUCCACAUGAUUUAAAUGUCCAACCUGACUUAGGGUUAGGAGUUUAGACACCUAAUGCCAAUGAAUGAAUGAUCCCAUCAUAUCUGUGUUAAUGCCUUGAAGAAUAAACUUUGUAUAGAGUUUCCCAAGUGAGAACUUCAAUUAACAUUUCGUACAUUUUGACCAAUCUCUAUUAGGAAGAUUUGUUCUGUAACUCUUUCAAGCUAAAACCUUACCGUAACAAAAGCUCCCUGUUCAUCCAACUCUAUGAAAGAUCUGCUGCGACGUAUCGGUUCAAUCUCUGUUCUUGAUUUCUUCUUCCGCAUUUUCCACUUCUUCCCAAUCGAUUUUCCUGUAACCAUGUUUCCUCUGUCAGCUUCUAUUCAAUUACUUAUGCUUCUUCUAUUACCAAUUUAGAGUCUCAACAGUGAAGAUCAGCUUCUUCUCUAAUCUCUAUCAACUUCUACUCAAUAACUUGUGCUUCUCUUACCAGUUUUUAGAGUCUCAGUGGUAGUAGUUAAUCCAUCAUCUUAUUUUCCGUUUGAUUAAACUUGAUUGGUAUACUUUGGUUUAAGAGUGUUGGUUUAGUUAAACCAGGAUUUGAGUUCAAUCAUCAUCAUCAUCAUCAUCAUCAUCAUCAGUCAAAUCAAAACUCUACGAGAGAGAGAGAGAGACUGAGAAAUUCAUGGCGGAAGCUUGCAGAGUGCGGAGGAUGAAGCUAGGAAGCCAAGGCCUCGAGGUAUCGGCGCAAGGCCUUGGUUGCAUGGGCCUCACCGGUCAUUACGGUGCUUCCAAGCCGGAAACUGAAGCCAUCGCUCUCAUCCACCACGCUAUUAACUCCGGCGUUACUUUCCUUGACACCUCUGACAUGUAUGGUCCUGAAACUAAUGAAAUUCUCCUUGGAAAGGUUCGAUUUUGUUAGUAUCUGAUAUUUCAUUUCGUUCUCUGCUGGGAAAACUUAGAGAUGGGAAUUAGCCUUGAUUUGUUUGAGCUUCAUAGCUUUAGAAAUGAUUGGUCACUUGUUGAAACUUCGAAUUCUGUUAGGCUCUUAAGGAUGGUGUGAGGGAGAAAGUGGAGCUUGCGACCAAAUUUGGAAUUAGCUAUGCAGAGGGAAAGAGGGAAAUUAAGGGAGAUCCUGCCUAUGUUAGAGCUGCUUGUGAGGCUAGUUUGAAGCGGCUAGAUGUUUCCUGUAUUGAUCUUUAUUAUCAGCAUCGGAUCGAUACCCGUGUCCCUAUCGAAAUCACUGUAAGCCCUCCUCUUACUUUCAAUUGAAAUGGACGUUACUUAUACUUCAGGUGGGCUUGAGUGUGUCUCAGUAAGCUUCACAUCUUUGGAUUGGUAUAUGUUUUGAGAUGAUGUUUUCUGCUUAGGUUACUCUUUUAGAAAUUGCUAGCUUAUUCAUAUAGAACCGACUUCUGGUGAAAGUAUCUCUCAUCUACCACUUAAAAGCCACCUUGUGAGGAUAGGGUGCCCUUUAGAGUUUAGACUUAUAAGCCAUUUACUUAGACACUUUUCCUUCCAAUGUGGGAUCUUAUCAUCUCCCUUAAUGAUUGUUCGUUUAAAUAGAAGAUCCUCUCUAGUUCGAUUGCCAUACUUCCUGACCUUUAUAUAGAAAGCUGUUUUGCUGAACUUAACAAAUGUUUUGUCUGUCAAUUCCAAGAUGGGAGAACUAAAGAAGCUGGUUGAAGAGGGUAAAAUAAAGUACAUCGGUUUGUCUGAGGCCUCUGGCUCGACUAUCAGAAGAGCGCAUGCUGUUCACCCAAUUACUGCCGUGCAGUUAGAGUGGUCCCUGUGGACGAGAGACGUGGAAGAAGAAAUCGUCCCAACCUGUAGGUAUGCAGAUUUCAUCCUCCUUUCAUGAUGCAUUAAUUCAUCAAUCAUGUAACGUCUUGUCUUCUUUCUUCAGGGAACUUGGGAUUGGGAUUGUUUCUUACAGUCCUCUUGGACGAGGUUUCUUUGCAUCGGGACCCAAGCUUGUUGAGAACCUAGUCAAUAAUGACUUCAGAAAGGCAAGUACACAGCCUUUUUAUGACUUAUUUGAUUGAUUAACCUUAAAGAAGCGGUGGAUAAAUCAAAUGACUUUAUAUAAAACUCAAUUAUUGCAGGCUCUACCAAGAUUCCAACAGGAAAACUUAGACCACAACAAGAUUCUCUACGAGAAGGUUUGUGCAAUAUCAAAGAAGAAAGGAUGCAGUCCCGGACAACUAGCCCUCGCAUGGGUUCACCACCAGGGAGAUGAUGUUUGCCCCAUCCCAGGAACCACUAAGAUUGAAAACCUCAACCAGAACAUUGGAGCUUUAUCAGUGAAACUCACUCCUGAAGAGAUGUCUGAGCUCGAGACCAUUGCCCAACCAGAGUCUGUGAAAGGAGAAAGAUACAUGGCAACAGUGCCAACCUUCAAAAACUCUGACACUCCACCGUUGUCUUCUUGGAAUGCUGUGUAAAACUGUCUCAGAGUUUUCUCUGGCCAAACCGAUUGUUUAAAGAGUUUAAAUGUGGUUCUGGCCAAAGGAUGAUUUAUGUACCCAUCUUAUAUACUGUGACUAGUCUUACAAUAACUCUUACAAGCUAAAGGCUUACCAAAACAAAGGUUAUCUGUUCAAUCUCCUCUGCUCUGAUUUCUUCUUCCGCAUUUUCCACUUCGCCUUUACCAAUUUUUCUAUACCCAUGUUUCCUCUACCAGCUUCAAUCCAAUUACUUAUGCUUCCCUAGCUACCAAUUAAUCAGCUUCUUCUCUUUGAACUUCUAGUCAACAACUUCUAUAGUAAAAACAUCAUUGUUAUUUUCGGUUUUGGUUAAUUAUGCACUUCAUCAUCAACUUGAAGUUCAACAACUCUGCUCGCGCGAGGGAGAUGAAUCCAUGGCAACUUGCGGAAUGAGGAGGAUAAAGCUGGGAAGUCAAGGCCUUGAGGUAUCGGCGCAAGGCUUUGGUUGCGCUCACUACGGUCCUUCAAAGCCGGAAACUGACGACAUUGCUCUCCUCCAUCACGCUAAUAUCUCCGGUCCUCACACCAAUGAAUUGCUCCUCGCCAAGGUUUUGAUUUCGAUCAGUUUCGAGAGAUUGUUAGAGAUGUUUGGGGUUUGUGUGUUCUCAUUUGGUCGAAUCCCAAACAACAAAAACUUGGCAUUGAUUCUUUUCAUGAAUUUCAUAUUUGUAGUAUGUAGAGAUGAUGAUUACAUUGUUGAAUUUGUUUAACUCUGCCAGGCUUUGAAGGAUGGUAUGAGGGAGAAAGUAGUGCUUGCUACCAAAUUUGGAUGCAUUUUGGUUAAGGGAAAGAGAGAUGUUAGAGGAGAUCCUGAGUAUGUUAGAGCUGCGUGUGAGGCUAGUUUAAAGCGGCUAGAUGUUUCCUGCAUUGAUCUUUAUUAUCAACAUCGGGUCGAUGCGCGCGUCCCUAUUGAAAUCACCGUAAGCCCUCCUCUUGCAAAUCCUCAUCCAUGCCAUUGUUUCAAAGUUUUCAAGUCAGUUCGUCUUAGUCUUGGGAAAUGAUUGAACUAAUAGGCUCUCUGACAGUAGAUUGGAGGCGAUGAUAUUCGCUUGCGUCACUUUAAGUGAACAUUGGAGCUUUAUCAGUGAAACUCACUCCAGAAGAGAUUUCUGAGCUCGAGACCAUUUCCCAACCAGAGUCUGUGAAAGGAGAAAGAUACAUGGCCACAGUGCCAACCUUCAAGAACUCCGACACACCACCGUUGU